Molecule: ribosomal RNA, 840 nt
Filed under: Triticum aestivum (bread wheat)
Lineage: Eukaryota; Viridiplantae; Streptophyta; Magnoliopsida; Poales; Poaceae
Description: partial small subunit ribosomal RNA
Source: RNAcentral
GAUUGUCAGUUUGUCGAGCUUGCUGAUACUUGAGCAAACCGUUCUGAACUUCUCGGGAGGCAAGCCGUAGAUCUCCAGCAUUCCAUCGAGCAACCCUCUAUGAUUUAGUUUUAUCUCAUAUACAUGCCAGUAUCUAGCCUAUAUAUGUAGCAACUCUGUCAGAAUUUUGAUAACCUCAAAAUCUGGUUACAGUACUCGGUAUAAUUCUCGAUAUCUUCCUUUCGAUGGGUUAUUAUUAUCUCUCCUGUAUCCUUUCUUCACUUUACCGUGUACUGUGUGUAGGGACUCCAGUCCAGUUUAGGACACAAGCUUGGGGAGUUGCACACCGACUGCACCUAGUACCGUAAAAGCUGCACGGCCGGUGGCACCCCUGUUCCCGAGCUUCAGUACCGGAGCAUUGAGCGCGCGCCGCUCCCCGGCACCCUGGAGAACGAGGCCGCCAUAAGGACGCCGGUGGCCGUGCGGUUGGAGGACCCGAGUAGGACCCUCCUGAGGUCGGCCCUGUCCUUGGAAGCGGCGGGUGCUUCGGGGACGGACCAGGCGCACGGCCUCGCACGAGAGCGCGCCGACGACGUCGGUGGCGCAGGCAAGAGGGGUCGCGCCGCAGUCGAGGAGGCGAGGGCGAGGACCGCCGGCGGCCUAGUCGAGUUACCCGGCAGCGAGGGCGUGGGCCGUGGCGGCGGUGAGGACGAGCGCGGAGGAGGAGGAGGAGGAGGAGCUUUUGCAGCAGCCCCAUGGAGGCGGAGGAGAUGGGUCCGGCACGAGGUUUGGUCCCCUGAGGGAGAGGAGAGGAGCAGCAGGAGGGGUGGAUGAGGACAGGGCCAUCUUGUGAAAUUUCUC